UACGGAGGGAGCUAGCGUUGUUCGGAAUUACUGGGCGUAAAGCGCGCGUAGGCGGUCUGCCAAGUCAGAGGUGAAAUCCCGGGGCUCAACUCCGGAACUGCCUUUGAAACUAGCGGACUGGAAUCUUGGAGAGGCGAGUGGAAUUCCGAGUGUAGAGGUGAAAUUCGUAGAUAUUCGGAAGAACACCAGUGGCGAAGGCGACUCGCUGGACAAGUAUUGACGCUGAGGUGCGAAAGCGUGGGGAGCAAACAGG
RNAcentral lists this ribosomal RNA (253 nucleotides) under uncultured bacterium. RNAcentral describes it as "partial 16S ribosomal RNA". It matches the Rfam family "Bacterial small subunit ribosomal RNA", at positions 524 to 776 of the family's 1533-position model. The record is from RNAcentral.